This 4125-nucleotide long non-coding RNA is filed under the name Homo sapiens (human). RNAcentral's name for it is "non-protein coding lnc-APCDD1L-5:1". Lineage: Eukaryota; Metazoa; Chordata; Mammalia; Primates; Hominidae. The record is from RNAcentral.
AGUCCAGCUACGACAGCCACCGCGGAAACUAUUAAGGGCCCGCUGGGGGCCAGCUUCGUGUUAAGUGCUUUAUUCAAUAAUAACAAUUAGAAUAAACUUCCACUUUUCUCUUGCUUAUGUAGUGCCAGGCACUGUUAGAGACUUUGAAUAAUAGUGAAAGUACUUAGUAUAAGUAUAAUGUUUAUGGGUGAGUGAUAUGGGCUAGGCACUGUGACGUCUUGUAAAUAAUAAUUAUAAAUAUAAUAAACUACCAAUUAUUGCUUAUUUAUUUUGUAUCACUCUACUGAAUGCUUCCAAUAACAACAGCAACUACAAUAAAUACAAGCUACUCUACGUUAAAUGUUUACUAUGCAACUGGCACUGUGCUGAAUUCUUUACUAGUAAAUUCUAUUUGUUUAUGCAACAAAUAUUUAGAAAUACAAUGAUCAGAAAAGCGAACCUGAUUCCAAUCCUUUUACUAUAGCCUAGUGAAGAGACAUCUUUUGAAUAAAUAACCACACACGUAAGUUAAAUAAUUAAAAAUUGCUGGAGAAUCCAGAUCUGCUUGACCUCAAAAGUGGAUACUCUACAUCAUGAUUACCGUUUAAAUUGUAUUUCAUUAUAUUAUGUUUACUAUGGAAGUUAAAUAGGUGUUCUUAAUAGUCUCCUAUACAUACCCAUAUAGGUGAGACAAAUGUGGCAAAUUGCUAGCAAUGGCUGACUCUACAUCGCAGGUAUAUGGUUUUCUUGUACUGUUUCUCCCACUUUGCUGUAUACUUGAAAUUUUUCAUGAUAAAAAGGUUUUUUAAAAGAAUAGUCUUUGUAUUUUAACUGGAGCAUUUAGUCCAUUUACAUUUAUUAUAUUUACUGAUAUAUCUGGAAUUAUUUCUACCAUUGUAUUUUGUUAUUUCUAUUUGUCCUGCCUGGUUUUUUUCCCCUUUCCUUUCUUCUUUAGGGUUUAUUUUUAUUCUCAUUCUGAUUUUCUUCACCUGUAUACUCUAUUUCUAAGUUUUAGUGGUUACUUCAAACUUUUGGGCAUGCAUACUUACCUUGUGAAAGUCCAAUAUCUUUAAAUAUUUGUAAAAAUGUCUUUACCCUGUUUCCUUAAAAUAUAAAGACUUUGGAGUACUUUAAUCACCCAUCCUCUAAAUUAUACACCUUAAUGUAGUGUAUGUUAAGUUUAACCUUUGCCACUGUAACCCCAAGAGACAUUACUAAAUUGUUUUAUUCAGUCAACAUUAGUUUAGAUUCAGCCACACAAUUACCAUUUUUAUCCACCUUUUCUUCUUGCAUCUCAGCUUUCACCAACAGGAUCACUCUCCUUUUGCCUGAGGUAAAUCCUUUAAAUUUUAUUUUUUUGUAGCUUCGUUGGUGCAAAUCCUCUCAGUUUCUGCUCAUCUGCAAAUGGAUUCAUUUUUGCCUUUUGUUGUUUUUAUUUUAUUUAUUUAUUUAUUUGGAGAUGAGGUCUUGCUCUGUUGCCCAUGCUGGAGUGCAGUGGCAUGAUCGUGGCUCACUGCAACCUGUAUCUCCCAGGCUGAAACAAUCCUCCCACCUCAGACUCCGGUGUAGCUGGGACUAAAAGCAUGCACCACCACGCCCAGCUAAUUUUUUUAUUUUCUGUAAAAUCUCACUAUGUUGCCCAGGCUGGUUUCAAACUCCUGGGCUCAAGUGAUCCUCCUGCUUCAGCCGCCAAAGUGCUAGGAUUACAGGCAUGAGCCACUGCGCCUGGCCUUGCCCUUGUUCUUGACAGAUAUUUUGGCUUGCUUGCUUGAAUGACAGCUGUCCUCUCUCAGCACACUUGAUUGCCAUCCACUGUUUGCCUGUUCCCCCUCAUUGCUCCUCAGGAGUCCAGUGACAAUCUUAACAUCGUUCCUUCAUAGGUUGUUGGUCUUUUCUCCCUCUUCUCAUGUUCUACAGUUUUACCAUGCUGUAUCUUUUUUUUUUUUUUUUUUUGAGACGGAGUCUCGCUCUGUCCCCCAGUCUGGAGUGCAGUGACGCCAUCUCAGCUCACUGCAACCUCCGCCUCCCAUGUUCAAGCGAUUCUCCUGCCUCAGCCUCCUGAGUCGCUGGGAUUACAGGCACGCACCACCAUGCCCAGCUAAUUUUUGUGUUUUCAGUAGAGACAGAGUUUUGCCAUGUUGGCCAGAUGGUCUCAAACUCCUGACCUCAGGUAAUCCACCCACCUCGACCUCCCAAAAAGUUGGGAUUACAGGCGUGAGCCACCAUGCCCAGCUCAUGCUGUUAUCUUUUUAUUUAUCCUGCCUUGAGUUCUUUGGGCUUUCUGAAUUUGAUGAUUGGUGUCUUUCAUUAUUCUUGAAAACUCUCAGACAAUACUUUUUUUUUUUCAAUUUAAUUUUACUUUUUUAUUGUGGUAAGAUACACAUCACAUAAAAUUUACUCUCUAUCAUUUUUAAGUAUCCAGUGGUAUUAACAAGAUUCCUAUUGUGGUGCGACCUCACCAUCAUCCAUCUCUAGAGCUCCCUUCAUCUUGCAAAACUAGAACUCUGUACCCCUUAAGCAAUCAUUCCCCAUGCUCCCUCUCCUAAGCCCCUGGCAACCAUCAUUCCACAUCCUGCCUCUGUGAAUUUGACUAGUCUAGGUACUUUUUGUAAGCAGAAUCAUACAAUACUUGUCGUUUUGUGACUGGCUUAUUUUGCCCAGCAUAAAGUCCCCAAAGUUCAUCCGUGUUGUAUCAUACGUGACAAUAUCUCUGUUAAAUGUUAUCUUGGAUGGACACAGUGGUUCAUGCCUGUAGUCUCAGCAAUUUAGGAGGUCAAGGCGGGCAGACUGCUUGAAUCCAGGAGUUCAAGACCAGCUUGGGCAACAUGGUAAAACCCCAUCUCCACAAAAAAUACAAAAAAAAAAAAAAAAAAAUUAGCCACGCAUGGUGGUGCAUGCCUGUAAUCCCAGUUACUCAGGAGGCUGAGGUGGGAGGACUUGAGCCCAGGAGGUGGAGGCUGCAGUGAACCAUUAUACCAUUGCACUCCAGCCUGGGGUAACAGAGUGAGAUCCUGUCUCAAAAAAAGAAGAAAUAAAAAUAAAUGUUAUCUCAACCUCGUUCUCUCACUCUUUACAUCUUGUAGUGUGAUUAGUAGUUAUUCAACUAAUAUUUUUCAAACUGUAGGUUGUUUUCCAACAGUGGCUUAUAAAAUCAAUGUAGUAGAUUGUUACCAGUGUUGAGAAAGAACGAGAAUAUAAUAUAUUGGAGUGUAUUGUAUUAUUUCAUGAAUCUUUUGUUUCAGUUGUAUUUAUUAAUAUACACAUAUCUAUGGAGUGAGUCACAACUAAAAUACAUUUAUUACUGUGGAUUGUGAAAGAAAAAGAGAAAAGUCUUGUGCCCUUCUCCAUGUCUAUUAACCUCUCUAUCACAUCUUAAUCUGUCCUCUUUAUGUUCCACGUUCUGGAUAGUUCUUCAGAUCUUUCUUCUAGUCACUAAUUAUCUCUUAGGCUAUUGAUAAACCUGUUUCAGGAGUUUUUCAUUUUGUUUAUUUUUUUUUAAGCCUAUAAGUUCUAUUUUGUUCUUUUACAUAUCCAAGUAGUUAUAGGUUGUGUUUUUUCUUUUUUUUUAAUUAUUAUUUGAGACAAGGUCUCCCUCUGUUGCCCAGGCUGGAGUUUAGUGGUGUAAUGUUGGCUCACUGCAGCCUCUACCUCAUGGGCUCAAGCCAUCCUCCCACCUCAGCCUCCCGAGUAGCUGAAACUACAGGUAGGCACCACCACACCCGGCUAAUGUUUGAAAGUUUUGUAGAGAUGGGAUUUCACCACAUUACCCAGGCUGGUCUCGAGCUCCUGAGUUUAUGCAAUCCGCUCGUCUCAGCCUCCCAAAGUGCUGAGAUUAAUGGCAUGAGCCACUGUGCCUGGCCACAUUUAUAGGUUUUUUAACACUGGUUCCCAGCUCCUCUGCCCUCCCCCAGGGAAUGGUGCCAUAACAAAGCUUUAGUGUUGGUCUCUUCUGCCGGGUCACUUUGGUAAGGGGAAGCCCAUGUUCCUAAGCCCAUACAGAGCCUCCACACCUGCCACCAUGGCCACUGCAUAAAUAAGCUCAUUGAGCACGCAAUGGCACAGCUGUGGGAAAGACUGACUGUUGUCUGCAGAAUGUGCCCUCUUGUCCACUCAAUUAAUAGAGUUGCUGCUGCAGUAGAUGUCUUU